ACCACCAGAAGUGGAACUUGCAGCUUAAUUUGACUCAACACGGAAAACAUCACAAGGAAAAGACAAAUGAAAGAUUUGCAGUUUG
This 85-nucleotide ribosomal RNA is filed under the name Lankesteria abbotti. RNAcentral describes it as "partial Eukaryotic small subunit ribosomal RNA". It matches the Rfam family "Eukaryotic small subunit ribosomal RNA", at positions 1166 to 1250 of the family's 1831-position model. The record is from RNAcentral. Lineage: Eukaryota; Apicomplexa; Conoidasida; Eugregarinorida; Lecudinidae.